This 28-nucleotide small RNA is filed under the name Bombyx mori (domestic silkworm). RNAcentral's name for it is "ovarian small RNA-38037". The record is from RNAcentral. Lineage: Eukaryota; Metazoa; Arthropoda; Insecta; Lepidoptera; Bombycidae.
UUGGUAAUAGCUCGACAUCAGGAAUAGG